Balaenoptera acutorostrata (minke whale) is the source of this 974-nucleotide long non-coding RNA. RefSeq lists it as uncharacterized. The transcript has 4 exons. NCBI's taxonomy places the organism in Eukaryota, Metazoa, Chordata, Mammalia, Artiodactyla, Balaenopteridae. The record is from RefSeq and is a predicted model, not a curated record.
GGGAGUGCGGAGACCCUGCCCAUCCCCUGAAUUCCGAACACAGGCUGGUGGGCCGAGGGUCGGGAGGAGCCGGGUGCCGUGGAAUCCAGUCAAGGCUUUCCCCGCCCCCUGCCCUUCCCCUGAACUUACUCUCCCGGCUCCAGUUCUGCCGGAAGGCCGUGCCUUUGCCUAAUUUGGUGGGUCCAAGAGGCUAAACUUCGGGGCCACGAACCCUCAGCAGAUCUGAGUUCUAGUCACUGCUCUACCCACGACCCCAGGACGGGACUAAAGAUUUUGGCCAAGUUCCCUAAUCUCCCCGAGCGACUGUUUUCUCAGAGGCGAAUUAGAAAGAGUUUGACCUUCACGGUUCUGCUGUGAAGAUCAAAAGCGGUGGAGUGAACGUGGAAAGGAAGAGGAAGGACCCCUUCCGUGUCCUGGACGGCUUACCAGUCCCUCCACAGACAUUUAAUCCUCACAACCAACCCGAAGGAGAGGCGGCCGCUCCGUUCUAGACGCGAGUCCGAUUCCCAGAGGCUGACUCGCUCAAGGCCACAGCGCUGAGUGAUACACAUCUUUAUCGCUGCCAUGGUCGUUGGGCCUUCUACUGGGGACCAGAUUUUGUAACAGGAAUCAUACAGAUGGAGAGGAAAAAAGAAGAGCUAGAAGACGCUAAGCUGCCCUGGGAACAGGGAGGAAAAGUAUGAUAAGAGUCAAAGGAGGAAGAAAUGGAAGUUUUAAUGGAAGAUGAUGAAAAAACAAGAGGCCAAGCUUUGUCUACUGAAAGGGCCUAGAAGCAGAGACACCCCAGUAGCAAUGAACACCUACAACUCAAAUCUUGGCUGCUAAUUCCAAGAGCUCCUCAAAGAAAUGGCCAGUUCCAGAGCUGGGACAAGACUUAAAAAGUACCUUAGCCUCUGAGAUCCAGGAUAUGGACUUCAGUGGAUUGUCUGGAUCCAUGGAAACUGGUCAGUAGGGCAAACUUCAAGUCAAGGAGG